CCUACGGGAGACAGCAGUGGGGAAUAUUGCACAAUGGGGGAAACCCUGAUGCAGCGACGCCGCGUGAAGGAAGAAGUAUUUCGGUAUGUAAACUUCUAUCAGCAGGGAAGAAAAUGACGGUAGCUGACUAAGAAGCCCCGGCUAACUACGGGCCAGCAGCCGCGGUAAUACGUAGGGGGCAAGCGUUAUACGGAUUUACUGGGUGUAAAGGGAGCGUAGGCGGGAUGGCAAGUCUGGUGUGAAAGGCUAGGGCUCAACCCCUGGACUGCAUUGGAGACUGUCAGGCUUGAGUGCAGGAGAGGUAAGUGGAAUUCCUAGUGUAGCGGUGAAAUGCGUAGAUAUUAGGAGGAACACCAGUGGCGAAGGCGACUUACUGGACUGUAACUGACGUUGAGGCUCGAAAGCGUGGGGAGCAAACAGGAUUAGAUACCCCAGUAGUC
RNAcentral lists this ribosomal RNA (440 nucleotides) under uncultured bacterium. RNAcentral's name for it is "partial 16S ribosomal RNA". It matches the Rfam family "Bacterial small subunit ribosomal RNA", at positions 338 to 795 of the family's 1533-position model. The record is from RNAcentral.